RNAcentral lists this ribosomal RNA (770 nucleotides) under Rhodococcus sp. (in: high G+C Gram-positive bacteria). RNAcentral's name for it is "bacterial SSU rRNA". It matches the Rfam family "Bacterial small subunit ribosomal RNA", at positions 69 to 850 of the family's 1533-position model. The record is from RNAcentral. Lineage: Bacteria; Bacillati; Actinomycetota; Actinomycetes; Mycobacteriales; Nocardiaceae.
AUGAAGCCCAGCUUGCUGGGUGGAUUAGUGGCGAACGGGUGAGUAACACGUGGGUGAUCUGCCCUGCACUUCGGGAUAAGCCUGGGAAACUGGGUCUAAUACCGGAUAGGACCUCGGGAUGCAUGUUCCGGGGUGGAAAGGUUUUCCGGUGCAGGAUGGGCCCGCGGCCUAUCAGCUUGUUGGUGGGGUAACGGCCCACCAAGGCGACGACGGGUAGCCGGCCUGAGAGGGCGACCGGCCACACUGGGACUGAGACACGGCCCAGACUCCUACGGGAGGCAGCAGUGGGGAAUAUUGCACAAUGGGCGCAAGCCUGAUGCAGCGACGCCGCGUGAGGGAUGACGGCCUUCGGGUUGUAAACCUCUUUCAGUACCGACGAAGCGCAAGUGACGGUAGGUACAGAAGAAGCACCGGCCAACUACGUGCCAGCAGCCGCGGUAAUACGUAGGGUGCGAGCGUUGUCCGGAAUUACUGGGCGUAAAGAGCUCGUAGGCGGUUUGUCGCGUCGUCUGUGAAAACCCGCAGCUCAACUGCGGGCUUGCAGGCGAUACGGGCAGACUUGAGUACUGCAGGGGAGACUGGAAUUCCUGGUGUAGCGGUGAAAUGCGCAGAUAUCAGGAGGAACACCGGUGGCGAAGGCGGGUCUCUGGGCAGUAACUGACGCUGAGGAGCGAAAGCGUGGGUAGCGAACAGGAUUAGAUACCCUGGUAGUCCACGCCGUAAACGGUGGGCGCUAGGUGUGGGUUUCCUUCCACGGGAUCCGUGCCGUA